UACAGAGGUCCCAAGCGUUGUUCGGAUUCACUGGGCGUAAAGGGUGCGUAGGUGGCCAGGUAAGUUUGGUGUGAAAGCUCGGAGCUUAACUCCGAAAAGUCAUUGAAUACUAUCUGGCUGGAGGGUCGGAGGGGAGACUGGAAUUCUCGGUGUAGCAGUGAAAUGCGUAGAUAUCAGGAGGAACACCGAUGGCGAAGGCAGGUCUCUGGGCUGACACUGACGCUCAUGCACGAAAGCGUGGGGAGCGAACAGG
RNAcentral lists this ribosomal RNA (253 nucleotides) under uncultured bacterium. RNAcentral's name for it is "partial 16S ribosomal RNA". It matches the Rfam family "Bacterial small subunit ribosomal RNA", at positions 524 to 776 of the family's 1533-position model. The record is from RNAcentral.